This is a long non-coding RNA of Varroa destructor (honeybee mite), 4735 nucleotides long. RefSeq lists it as uncharacterized. The record is from RefSeq and is a predicted model, not a curated record. Lineage: Eukaryota; Metazoa; Arthropoda; Arachnida; Mesostigmata; Varroidae.
UAAAGAUUCACACCCUUUUCCACAAAAGCGUGUUGCAGUAUUGAUUCAUAAUGCUCUUAACUUGAAAAUAAUAGACAGAUAGCUGGUCACGUGAUAGUUCAAGGAGUCCUGGUAAUCUAGCUUCGACGCGGGUCGUAGAGACACUCCGUUUCGUUCUGGAAGCCAGCAGUCUGACAGAGCGCUUUUAACGGUGAUGCCGGACAGAAAACUUAAACGUUUAGUCAAUAUACGAACGUGUGAGAACGACCCAGUCACGGGUCGUCCUUUAAAUGACAAGAUUGCUGCUGCUACCUCACAGGGGGUGAAGGGCAAAUGGCAUUGGUACGAUUGCCCGAGCCGUUCCUUGAGGUUUAGCCUUAGGUCCGAGAUGUCAUAAUGGUAGAACGAGUGAAUGUUUAUGUAAUGGAGCCGUCAUGGCGCCCAUAUUAUUGGGCAAGAAAUUGUUUCUUUGCUCAAACGUAAUUCUGCCGGUGAUUUAUUUGCUUCGGCCAUUAUACUGGAGGACGUUCCGUAGAGCGAUUCAUAAGAUUCAGAAGACCACUCGAAUACCCUUAUCAGGAUCAUGUUUUCGACUAGACCACUGAAUAUUUUUAGUUGAUGUUGAACCUACUUGCGCGUUUUUUUCACUAAAGUGAUAAAAGAUAUAGUACUAGAAUACUGUUGUUUUUAUGUUUUUAUUGCUUACUUUUAUUUUAUUUUAUAACCUAUGUUUUCAAUGCUGAAAAUUGUGACAUGUUUUUUUUUCUUAGAACUAGAAAAACUGACUACUCCAACCAAAGAGCGUAGGUAGGAGUAGCAUAAAUGUGAAUUUCAGGUAACCCAGAAGGAGAGUGGUGCGUCGUGGAAGUAGCCACGUCUGUAAAUACGAAGGGUUUAUAUAUUCGUGUGUUUUCUUAAAACCAAUAAUUUCUAGUAAAUUGCGAUUUCCAUAUCUACACAGAUCCGUAUUUACCACGCUUACUACGACAUGCAGCCUAAACAUAAACGAACUAAGGUAAUAAUGAAUAUUGGCUGUAUUAUAAUUAUUAUCAAUUGAGACACUUUUGUCUAACACAGAGGGAUUUUUUUAAGUGAGCCAUCUAUCAUUUAUCAAUAAUGAACUAAUAUAUUAUAAUCUUCGUCUUUCUGAUUCAAACAAGUUGUUUCAGUCUGUCUCCAUAUAAAAACAUCGUUCGUUGUAAGAAUCGUAUGAAAUUAACAUCGUAGCCUGUCGUCGCAAGCUUCGUCGCGGACCCCAUAUAAGAUGUCGUUGAAGACGAAUCACUCAAUGACAAGUAGUCAUUUAUGGGGAUCUAUUCACAAAUACCGUCAUAUGUCGAUAAUGAUCAAAGGGUGGUUCGUCCGCAAAACUCCUCGUAUCUCAUUGCAGUCGGAUCCAAAGGUUUGAAGCACGUUGCAGUCUAUUGGACAGUUAAACAAAGGACGCAGAUAGUCGGCCAGCUACUAGCACAAUAUAUCAUGAAAAAGACUAGAAGAAACCUACUACUAUAGUAGAAGAAGUUCAAGCACAAAAGAGUAUCGUAGCUAGCUUGUACGUAGAAGAAUCGGAUCUUAAAAAAGGGUGUUUAUAAAAAUAAUAGUAUAAUGAAGUGUACUUUCUACUAGGCCCUGAUUUCUAAACGUACACUUUCUAAUAACAUUUUAGGUUGUAUAAAGUUUUGUUUACAUGUUAUUAGUAUCGUUCACAACUCAAUCAAAUCGGUUAAUCAUUGUUACUCUUGUAAGCAGUGCUCAAAGAUGUAUAGAGGGCACCAUCGUUGGCCGUAUCCUGCAUACAAUGCCUUACAAUUUUAGUCCAUUUUCGUCAUAAUAAAAGUGUAUUGAAAUUGUAUCGUAAAACAGAUGUAACGUCGCUUUUAUACCCCCUGACGACAUCGAAUCUGCGCCCUGUCGUCAAUAGUUUUAGGCCGGUUAUCGAAACGUUUCUCAAGUAGAUGGUCAUACAACUAUAUUUGUGCCUAUGUAACCAUUGUAAAAUUAAUGUUUUUUUUUUUUUGUGUAGCGUAGACUCGCUCAAAAUGUGAGAUUAAUGAUCGAAGAAUAUUUGGAAAAGACUCAAUCGGAUGUACUUGAUAGGUCCUUCAUCAGGAUUUAAGGAUAUAAGGAAGAGGCUUCGUAAGGCGACGAGCAGGUUUAUGGCUAAGUAUAAGUUGGACUUACAACGGGUACAAAGCAUGCAUUACUAGAUUGUUUCUGCGAUGCUGUAGCGGUACUACGCAUGCCCACUGAAAUAGGAAAUACGUGAAGUAAUCUAGGUUGAAAAACGGGCGGAAAUACUGUUUAUGUUGCACCGAAGGUCAGCCGUGCGACACACUGCCUAAUGGCGGUACCGAUGCAGCACACAAAGGGUUCAUUUGUGUACUAAAAAACCGCUCCAGGCCUACAAUUGGAACAGCUUGCGUUUGCACACCAUUCAAUGGCGUCCGUAAGACAUAACCGCGGCAGGAAAUGAGAUAAGAUGGCGGGAUGCUAUCGGAAAUGGUGGUGACCAAAAAGCGAACUCCUCUGUUGGGGCUGAUGACGCGACAGGAAGUGACGGACCCUUUAUCUAAGUAGAUGACAGCAUACGAUAGGUAGUAAUGGUGGUACCUUUCACAGGCGAUAAAAAUCAUGAUUACUCCACUAGAUAUCUACACACGAAUAAAUACUUUGACACGUUUAUUUUCAUACAACUUUGUUGAAUUUCAAAGCAAACAAAUAGAUCCAGCUGAUAGGUGCAAGCGAAAAAAAUCUACACGGUUCUUCUAGACUUUUCCCGUCACAAAUUGACCCGUACAUUGUCGAUGUUUGAACAGAUUUCUCGUCAGUCAGUCAGUCAGUCAGUCUCCUCUGCCUAAUCGACCAAAUGAAGCUCUAUUAUUCCUAUCGAUCUAGUCAAAUCUAUAACAUUACAAGGAACGAACAUUCCCACUUUAACCUAUAUAUCCCAUAUUCCCUCCUGAGUGUUUCGUUGUGCCGUCAUACAAAAACGCCACAUUGUAUAUAUGAAUAUCCUGCUAGAAUAAUAUUCAAGCAUGUUCUCGUCAGAGGAAAGAGUUUUUCUUGUUAUUGCGUGACCAUUUUUUGCUUAUGUUCAGUUAUACGCAGCUAAACUUGAGUCUUAUUUUUCCAAGAGGAACUUCUUAUUUCUGUACCGCUACGGAAGUGGUGGUCAAAAAGUUUCAAUUUCUAGCGUUGAUUCCACGUCUCUUCUUAGCGAUGGGUGUGCCCCGUUUCGUCUGGCCUCUGUUUAUGCACUGUUUCACAACCUCUAGUGGAGGAUACCGUCCGCGGCCGAAUUUCGAAGCUGACACUGGCCAUGCGAUCACUUCAAUGCAACCCAUCAUCCUGCCACAGCUUGGCCGUGGCUACGUCUGCUGUUGCUAUGUUUGGAAUAUCUUUGCAGUCAGGAUUUACGAGGUUACGAAAAGGGCUGCUUAAGGAAGUGAGUUAGUACUACAUGGCCCAUGUGCAACGUCGCUAUGACAUGCGAAGUCGUUGGAGCAGAUGCUCGCAACGGAAUAGGAGUAGCCCAACGGCCGGCUCAGUCAAACCAUAGCAACUGCAAGACAGCUAUCAGCGAUUCUGUGGAGGAAACAGCCGAACAGAUCGAAGCCUAUAUAUAUAUAUUGUUGUUUUUUUGUUGUUUUUUUUUUUGCCUUAACUAGAGCGAUUACAGCAGAAAAAAUAAGAUGGAAGAACAUUCAUUUCUCCUCUAAGAGCUUUAUGAAAAAGACGUAAAAUAACGUGAAAAAAGCUACUCUUAUUUACGUUACAUAUUUAUGGCCUCAUCUGUCACUGACGGUGUCGAAUAUAAUGCGAGCACAAGUACCCGAGUCUGUGGUUCAGUGGUUCUGAAGAAGUUCGAAAUUAAACCUCUUAAGCUCCAGCCAGACCAAGCUCCAAGCCAACCAGAUUAAGAGCGAAGCAUGGCAUUAGACGAGUGUAAACUUCUAGUUAUGUCAAAUGUGUGCGUCGAAACUUAGAUUUCGUGCUUUCGUUCUAUCACACUCUAUCGUGACUGAAUAGUGCAUAUAAGUGAAACGUCGUCUCAAAUAAUAUAUUGGGUUGUCUAAAUACUGUUGACGGUCUUUCUAGGCAGAUGCAUUUAAAGUUACGUAUCUUAGCUAAUAUAACUCGUGUCGAAUUAUAUCAUCUAGAAGCUGAAACCUAGCAGUGUCUGGUGGAUACGCUACAAUUAUUAGACCUUUCCCCAUGCCUAAGAUAGGGCGUCUUGAAGAAGAUGAGCAAAAUUUCCAUUUUUUAAUUGUUAUAUUUUACAAUCAUAUUUUAUCAGAAGAUAUAGAUCGAAAAUCGUUUUUGUUCUGGGAAUUUUGAUACAAAAACACUCCUCUUUCGGUGGUCGAUCGACGAGUUGCAGGAGAAACUAACGGAAGGAUUAUAAGAGCGGCAGGUGGUUAGUUACGAUAUCGCCAAAGACUAGACAACGCGACGAAAUCGAGCCGUUCUUAAAUAAUUCAUGAAAACUGGAUAGCAUAGAACAAAAAUGUACAAAUGAAGAAUAAAACGUUCCACAAUCGUUAUUGAUGUCAAAAUGCCGUGUGUUCGGGGAAACUAAAAAGGAAUCACGCAUUAUAAACAGCUGCCGUCUGGCAAAACGACGGAUUCGGACCUCUAGUGCCUACCUUUAGCUAAAUCGGGAUAGAAGAUUUUCCCGUGUAGUCCGGAUCUUGCACCAUCAGAAUAUCAUCUGUUAUUAUUUUGGUGCGUGUAGCACACUGUUAACAGUGUUCAU